This is a long non-coding RNA of Aphis gossypii (cotton aphid), 1255 nucleotides long. RefSeq lists it as uncharacterized. NCBI's taxonomy places the organism in Eukaryota, Metazoa, Arthropoda, Insecta, Hemiptera, Aphididae. The transcript has 3 exons. The record is from RefSeq and is a predicted model, not a curated record.
ACUCGUAAGUAUUUUAAAAAAUUUUCUAAAAAAUGUACAAUAGUCGCGUAUUUCGAUGCGUAUUGUUCCUGGUCUAUGGGGAGGUCCCGACGUUUUCGCGAGACGACUCACCGCCAUCUGAUUGCAUAUUCAAAUUCUCCGUGUUAUAACGAAAAUUUGCAUACUACUUAGAAAGUGGCGACGGACUCGUAAGUAUUUUAAAAAAUUUUUUAAAAAAUGUACAAUAGUCGCGUAUUUCGAUGCGUGGUGCUUCCUGUAUAUGGUGAGCUCCCGACGUUUUCGCGAGACGACUCACCGCCAUCUGAUUGCAUAUUCAAAUUCUCCGUGUUAUAACGAAAAUUUGCAUACUACUUAGAAAGUGGCGACGGACCCGUAAGUAUUUUAAAAAAAUUCUCAAAAAAUGUACAUUAGUCGCGUAUUUCGAUGCGUAUUGUUCCUGGUCUAUGGGGAGGUCCCGACGUUUUCGCGAGACGACUCACCGCCAUCUAAUUGCAUAUUCAAAUUCUCCGUGUUAUAACGAAAAUUUGCAUACUACUUAGAAAGUGGCGACGGACCCGUAAGUAUUUUAAAAAAAUUCUCAAAAAAUGUACAUUAGUCGCGUAUUUCGAUGCGUAUUGUUCCUGGUCUAUGGGGAGGUCCCGACGUUUUCGCGAGACGACUAACCGCCAUCUGAUUGCAUAUUCAAAUUCUCCGUGUUAUAACGAAAAUUUGCAUACUACUUAGAAAGUGGCGACGGACUCGUAAGUAUUUUAAAAAAUUUUUUAAAAAAUGUACAAUAGUCGCAUAUUUCGAUGCGUGGUGCUUCCGGUAUAUGAUGAGCUCCCGACGUUUUCGCGAGACGACUCACCGCCAUCUGAUUGCAUAUUCAAAUUCUCCGUGUUAUAACGAAAAUUUGCAUACUACUUAGAAAGUGGCGACGGACCCGUAAGUAUUUUAAAAAAAUUCUCAAAAAAUGUACAUUAGUCGCGUAUUUCGAUGCGUAUUGUUCCUGGUCUAUGGGGAGGUCCCGACGUUUUCGCGAGACGACUCACCGCCAUCUAAUUGCAUAUUCAAAUUCUCCGUGUUAUAACGAAAAUUUGCAUACUACUUAGAAAGUGGCGACGGACCCGUAAGUAUUUUAAAAAAAUUCUCAAAAAAUGUACAUUAGUCGCGUAUUUCGAUGCGUAUUGUUCCUGGUCUAUGGGGAGGUCCCGACGUUUUCGCGAGACGACUCACCGCCAUCUAAUUGCAUAUUCAAAUUCUCCGUGUUAUAACG